GAACGUACGCUGGCGGCACGCCUAACACAUGCAAGUCGAACGAAGUAGCAAUACUUAGUGGCAGACGGGUGAGUAACAUGUAGGUAUCUGCCCUUUGGCCUGGAAUAACACGAGGAAACUUGUGCUAAUACCGGAUAAGUCUUUACGGAGAAAGCUUUAUGCACCAUUGGAUGAGCCUGCACUUGAUUAGUUUGUUGGUGGGGUAAUGGCCUACCAAGACUUUGAUCAAUAGCUGAUUUGAGAGGAUGAUCAGCCACAUUGGGACUGAGACACGGCCCAAACUCCUACGGGAGGCAGCAGUGGGGAAUCUUGCACAAUGGAGGAAACUCUGAUGCAGCGAUGCCGCGUGAGUGAAGAAGGCCCUUGGGUUGUAAAGCUCUUUCGUCGGGGAAGAAAAUGACUGUACCCGAAUAAGAAGGUCCGGCUAACUUCGUGCCAGCAGCCGCGGUAAUACGAAGGGACCUAGCGUAGUUCGGAAUUACUGGGCUUAAAGAGUUCGUAGGUGGUUGAAAAAGUUGGUGGUGAAAUCCCAGAGCUUAACUCUGGAACUGCCAUCAAAACUUUUCAGCUAGAGUUUGAUAGAGGAAAGCAGAAUUUCUAGUGUAGAGGUGAAAUUCGUAGAUAUUAGAAAGAAUACCAAUUGCGAAGGCAGCUUUCUGGAUCAUUACUGACACUGAGGAACGAAAGCAUGGGUAGCGAAGAGGAUUAGAUACCCUCGUAGUCCAUGCCGUAAACGAUGUGUGUUAGACGUUGGAAAUUUAUUUUCAGUGUCGCAGCGAAAGCGAUAAACACACCGCCUGGGGAGUACGACCGCAAGGUUAAAACUCAAAUGAAUUGACGGGGACCCGCACAAGUAGUGGAGCAUGUGGUUUAAUUCGAAGAUACGCGCAGAACCUUACCAACACUUGACAUGUUCGUCGCGACUCUAAGAGAUUAGAGUUUUCGGUUCGGCCGGACGAAACACAGGUGCUGCAUGGCUGUCGUCAGCUCGUGUCGUGAGAUGUUGGGUUAAGUCCCGCAACGAGCGCAACCCUCACUUUUAGUUGCCAUCAUUAAGUUGGGCACUCUGAAAGAACUGCCAGUGAUAAGCUGGAGGAAGGUGGGGAUGACGUCAAGUCCUCAUGGCCCUUACGUGUUGGGCUACACACGUGCUACAAUGGUAUCUACAACAGGAAGCAAGGCGGCGACGUCAAGCAAAUCCUUAAAAGAUACCUCAGUUCGGAUUGCACUCUGCAACUCGAGUGCAUGAAGCUGGAAUUACUAGUAAUCGUGGAUCAGCGUGCCACGGUGAAUGCGUUCCCGGGUCUUGUACACACCGCCCGUCAAGG
This 1328-nucleotide ribosomal RNA is filed under the name uncultured Alphaproteobacteria bacterium. Its description in RNAcentral is "bacterial SSU rRNA". It matches the Rfam family "Bacterial small subunit ribosomal RNA", at positions 27 to 1402 of the family's 1533-position model. Lineage: Bacteria; Pseudomonadati; Pseudomonadota; Alphaproteobacteria. The record is from RNAcentral.